GGUCCCGUAGCUCAGCUGGAUAGAGCGUUAGAUUCCGAGUCUAAAGGCCACGCGUUCGAAUCGCGUCGGGACCGCCA
Molecule: transfer RNA, 77 nt
Filed under: Rickettsiales bacterium
Lineage: Bacteria; Pseudomonadati; Pseudomonadota; Alphaproteobacteria; Rickettsiales
Description: tRNA-Arg
Rfam family: tRNA
About the family: Transfer RNA (tRNA) molecules are approximately 80 nucleotides in length. Their secondary structure includes four short double-helical elements and three loops (D, anti-codon, and T loops). Further hydrogen bonds mediate the characteristic L-shaped molecular structure. tRNAs have two regions of fundamental functional importance: the anti-codon, which is responsible for specific mRNA codon recognition, and the 3' end, to which the tRNAs corresponding amino acid is attached (by aminoacyl-tRNA synthetases). tRNAs cope with the degeneracy of the genetic code in two manners: having more than one tRNA (with a specific anti-codon) for a particular amino acid; and 'wobble' base-pairing, i.e. permitting non-standard base-pairing at the 3rd anti-codon position.
Source: RNAcentral